This 253-nucleotide ribosomal RNA is filed under the name uncultured bacterium. RNAcentral's name for it is "partial 16S ribosomal RNA". It matches the Rfam family "Bacterial small subunit ribosomal RNA", at positions 524 to 776 of the family's 1533-position model. The record is from RNAcentral.
UACGUAGGGACCGAGCGUUGUCCGGAAUCAUUGGGCGUAACGAGCGUGUAGGCGGCCUUUUAAGUCCUGCGUGAAAUCCUGCGGCUCAACCGCAGACGGUCGUGGGAAACUGGAAGGCUAGAGUGCGGGAGAGGAGAGUGGAAUUCCCGGUGUAGCGGUGAAAUGCGCAGAUAUCGGGAAGAACACCCGUGGCGAAGGCGGUUCUCUGGGACGGUACUGACGCUGAGACGCGAAAGCGUGGGGAGCGAACAGG